AGUGAACGCUGGCGGUAGGCCUAACACAUGCAAGUCGAACGGCAGCACAGUAAGAGCUUGCUCUUACGGGUGGCGAGUGGCGGACGGGUGAGGAAUACAUCGGAAUCUACUUUUUCGAGGGUGAUAACGCAGGGAAACUUACGCUAAUACCGCAUACGACCUACGGGUGAAAGCAGGGGAUCUUCGGACCUCGCGCGAUUGAAUGAGCCGAUGUCGGAUUAGCUAGUUGGCGGGGUAAAGGCCCACCAAGGCGACGAUCCGUAGCUGGUCUGAGAGGAUGAUCAGCCACACUGGAACUGAGACACGGUCCAGACUCCUACGGGAGGCAGCAGUGGGGAAUAUUGGACAAUGGGCGCAAGCCUGAUCCAGCCAUACCGCGUGGGUGAAGAAGGCCUUCGGGUUGUAAAGCCCUUUUGUUGGGAAAGAAAAGCAGCAGGUUAAUACCCCGCUGUUCUGACGGUACCCAAAGAAUAAGCACCGGCUAACUUCGUG
RNAcentral lists this ribosomal RNA (492 nucleotides) under uncultured bacterium. Its description in RNAcentral is "partial 16S ribosomal RNA". It matches the Rfam family "Bacterial small subunit ribosomal RNA", at positions 29 to 507 of the family's 1533-position model. The record is from RNAcentral.